This 253-nucleotide ribosomal RNA is filed under the name uncultured bacterium. RNAcentral describes it as "partial 16S ribosomal RNA". It matches the Rfam family "Bacterial small subunit ribosomal RNA", at positions 524 to 776 of the family's 1533-position model. The record is from RNAcentral.
UACGGAGGGAGCUAGCGUUGUUCGGAAUUACUGGGCGUAAAGCGCACGUAGGCGGCUAUUCAAGUCAGAGGUGAAAGCCCGGGGCUCAACCCCGGAACUGCCUUUGAAACUAGAUAGCUAGAAUCUUGGAGAGGUCAGUGGAAUUCCGAGUGUAGAGGUGAAAUUCGUAGAUAUUCGGAAGAACACCAGUGGCGAAGGCGACUGACUGGACAAGUAUUGACGCUGAGGUGCGAAAGCGUGGGGAGCGAACAGG